AAGGCCAGUCCUGGAUGAUGGGUAGAGUAUGAGUCCUGCAUGAUGGAUGCUAUGUAACUGGAACUCUGAGGCCCAG
Small nucleolar RNA from Hyaena hyaena (striped hyena), 76 nucleotides. RefSeq annotates it as small nucleolar RNA SNORD113/SNORD114 family. The record is from RefSeq and is a predicted model, not a curated record. The transcript has a single exon. Lineage: Eukaryota; Metazoa; Chordata; Mammalia; Carnivora; Hyaenidae.